Archocentrus centrarchus (flier cichlid) is the source of this 2345-nucleotide long non-coding RNA. RefSeq lists it as uncharacterized. The record is from RefSeq and is a predicted model, not a curated record. The transcript is spliced from 2 exons. Lineage: Eukaryota; Metazoa; Chordata; Actinopteri; Cichliformes; Cichlidae.
ACAAUCAAUUAAUAUUUGUAAAAUUCCUUUAAAACAGUAAAAACUCUCACAGAAAAAAGGGGGUACAGUAACACAUUAUAUUACUGCAUUACUGAAAAAGGUAGUGUAAUUACAAUAAUGCUUUACUUUGGAACGUGUUACAUCCAACACUGCACACACUGUAAACUCUGUGUGGUAUUUCACUAUACAAAUAGAAAGCUUUUUGAUUUGCAAGUCAAAGGUUGGACACACUCGCUGUACUCAGACUUUUGACUGUUAACUGUAACUUGGCAUUUUUCUUGGCAACGGUUGAUAUGGUGAUAUUUGAUAAUAAUUUCCAGACUCGUCUUUUCUCACCAGUUGAGUCCUUAUUUAUCCUGUUGAAAAAUGUCCUUGAUGAAAUGACUUAAAACAGAUCUUUGGGUUGAACCAACUUUAAAGGUUUAGGAGGGGGGAAUUCCCUCAGCUGGAAGCUACCAUCCAGUCUGUUGCCAUCUGGAGGCUUCAGUGUCACAGCUGCAGCAGGCGGAUCGUGUAGCCUAUUUUUGGAACAGGCUGACCAAUGUGAUGAUUUAAUUAGCCCAUUUUGAUUAUGAACAGAACAUAAUCAAAAGCAGAGGUUAAUUAGCCCACUGAUAAUGCUCCUGAAGACUCUGAUUGGCCACACCAUCAUUGAGUACCAUGCUAGAAAGAACAAAGAUUAAGUGAAAUGUGUGGUACUUUCAGCUACUCUCUUAUUUGCCAAAGGGGUCACCACAGCAGAUGGAUCCACAUAUUUGGUUUGACAGAUUUUACACCAGAUGUCUUUCCAGCCAUAAACCUCCCAUUUAUCUGGUCCAGCACUAGGAGUGCACUGACCUGUGACCCUUCUGUGGCUGUGUCCGUGUCUCCUCCCAGUCUCAACCUGGGAAUCCUUCACAUGUAAGGUGAAUGUGUUAAAAGUAAAGUAAGUGACAGCUGAUAUGUGGUGGCUGGGACUUCUGCUAACUGGGUUCAGUUUGGGAAUUCAAACAUUUCUGUCUUCUUGUGGUGGAAACAUUUUCACUUUAUCUGGAGCAAUUUCCAAAAUGCUUGAAUCCAUUUACUUGUAUAGGGCAAAAAAGUUGGGCCAGAAUGACAGAACUCAACAUUUUCCAGCUAGUAUGGUGCAACCCAACUGAUGAUUCUCUGAACUCUCCCAAAGUCAUGUCCAGUACUGUGAGUACAUUGCUCAUUGCCCUCUUCUUCAUUCUGCAGUACUUGUUUGACAUGAAUUAUGUUUGCGCAUGCAGGCCAGGAAUACGUAGUGGCUGGGCUUUCCUGGGAUCUCCCACUUUAUCGUCAUCUUAAGCGAACCUUUCUAAAAGGGGAUAUAUUGUUACCACUGUCUUUAUUGCUGCAAUAAUAUCUGGAGCUUUAGUGUUUUUGUUUGAGUGCUGUUUGGGUGUCCUCCGUCUGGUUGGAUGGAGACUGGUACCUCUGCCCAAAGAUAAACAUUUACAUCAACCCGACUGGAAUUCCUUGUAAGGAACAGCUGACCUGCAGGGAGACGCUCUUCGGAGAAAAAGUAUAAGAAUGCAUCGUUGAAGCAGAUGCCCGUCCCUUCCUGUUCUUCCUCACCACCGAGCGGUAUUGUCAUUGUUGUGAACUGGCACUGAAGUAUGCAUAGAAACAAUAGCAGUGUGUACAAAAGCCUAGUCAAUCCUCUCCCUGUGCCCCUGACUCUUAUCUGUCCUCUAUGUGCUCCGUUCCCCCCUCGCCGUACCACACAUUCAGAUGCCGCAUCUCCUGACAAAUCCUGGUUCUUGUAUCUAAAUGGCACCUUCUUGCUCCAUUACUCAAUGAGUGAAACAUGAGCAUCGUACAUGCGUGUGUGUAAUUAGCAGUGACAUGACACACACGUGUGAAACAAGAUUGAGAGCAUGUGUUUCUGUUUACUUUCAACUGCAGGGCAGUUUUACUGCUACCACUGACAGUGUGGGACAGGCCGCCUUCUUUCAUACUGAUUUUUAAGUAAUUUGAUUGAAAGCACUGAUGUAAUGCUGCACAGUGUAAAGGAGAAUCAGAGUUCGAGCGCUCUGACUGACAAAAUUGCAAAUUGUUCUGAUGAGUUGUGAGAUUCAGAUGAGAAAUGUAACAACACAAUAACAAAUAUCUUUAAUCGUGAAGUAUGCACAGAAACAAUGGCAGUGUGUAGAAAAACACAGAAAAGGCUGAUGUGGGUGGUGAGAUGCAUUACUGGUUUGAGAACUGCAUUAAGAGUGGUGAGGAUGAUGCUUCUGAUGUGAGAACUGCACCAAAGUGAUUGAGAAAAAACUGUAAUUCCAGUGGUUAUCUCAUCUUUCUGCCAUCAAUACUGAUUGUGUUCAAUAAAGAAAUGAAAGAUU